This 25-nucleotide small nuclear RNA is filed under the name Arabidopsis thaliana (thale cress). RNAcentral describes it as "snRNA_05602". The record is from RNAcentral. Lineage: Eukaryota; Viridiplantae; Streptophyta; Magnoliopsida; Brassicales; Brassicaceae.
GGAACGAACCUCUUCAGAUUUCAAC